UACGUAGGUGGCAAGCGUUGUCCGGAAUUAUUGGGCGUAAAGCGCGCGCAGGCGGCCUUUUGAGUCUGAUGUGAAAGCCCACGGCUCAACCGUGGAAGGUCAUCGGAAACUGAAAGGCUUGAGUACAGAAGAGGAAAGCGGAAUUCCACGUGUAGCGGUGAAAUGCGUAGAGAUGUGGAGGAACACCAGUGGCGAAGGCGGCUUUCUGGUCUGUAACUGACGCUGAGGCGCGAAAGCGUGGGGAGCAAACAGG
This 253-nucleotide ribosomal RNA is filed under the name uncultured bacterium. RNAcentral's name for it is "partial 16S ribosomal RNA". It matches the Rfam family "Bacterial small subunit ribosomal RNA", at positions 524 to 776 of the family's 1533-position model. The record is from RNAcentral.